This 263-nucleotide ribosomal RNA is filed under the name uncultured Staphylococcus sp. RNAcentral's name for it is "partial 16S ribosomal RNA". It matches the Rfam family "Bacterial small subunit ribosomal RNA", at positions 99 to 356 of the family's 1533-position model. The record is from RNAcentral. Lineage: Bacteria; Bacillati; Bacillota; Bacilli; Caryophanales; Staphylococcaceae.
CGGGACGGUUAGUAACACGUGGAUAACCUACCUAUAAGACUGGGAUAACUUCGGGAAACCGGAGCUAAUACCGGAUAAUAUAUUGAACCGCAUGGUUCAAUAGUGAAAGACGGUUUUGCUGUCACUUAUAGAUGGAUCCGCGCUGCAUUAGCUAGUUGGUAAGGUAACGGCUUACCAAGGCAACGAUGCGUAGCCGACCUGAGAGGGUGAUCGGCCACACUGGAACUGAGACACGGUCCAGACUCCUACGGGAGGCAGCAGCG